Molecule: long non-coding RNA, 1583 nt
Filed under: Homo sapiens (human)
Lineage: Eukaryota; Metazoa; Chordata; Mammalia; Primates; Hominidae
Description: HSALNT0118881
Source: RNAcentral
GUUCUAAAGUGUCUCCUGUGGGAUGGUAUAUUUUGCACUCUACCUUAAGUUUUCCUUAAAAUAUGUUUGAAGUCAGGGGCUGCGUCUUACAAAGAAUCUCUGGCAUUUUCUACCAAAGUGAGUGACACAUAGCAUAUACUAAGAAAGCUGACAUUUUCCAUUUCAAUUACACAGCUAGAUGGCAUUUUCUACCAAAGUGAGUGACACAUAGCAUAUACUAGGAAAGCUGACAUGUUCCAUUUCAAUUACACAGCUAGAUGGCAUUUUCUACCAAAGUGAGUGACACAUAGCAUAUACUAGGAAAGCUGACAUGUUCCAUUUCAAUUACACAGCUAGAUGGCAUUUUCUACCAAAGUGAGUGACACAUAGCAUAUACUAGGAAAGUAGAUAUGUUCCAUUUCAAUUACACAGCUAGAUGGCAUUUUCUACCAAAGUGAGUGACACAUAGCAUAUACUAGGAAAGUAGACAUGUUCCAUUUCAAUUACACAGCUAGAUGGCAUUUUCUACCAAAGUGAGUGACACAUAGCAUAUACUAGGAAAGCUGACAUGUUCCAUUUCAAUUACACAGCUAGAUGGCAUUUUCUACCAAAGUGAGUGACACACAGCAUAUACUAGGAAAGCUGACAUGUUCCAUUUCAAUUACACAGCUAGAUGGCAUUUUCUACCAAAGUGAGUGACACUUAGCAUAUACUAGGAAAGCUGACAUGUUCCAUUUCAAUUACACAGCUAGAUGGCAUUUUCUAUCAAAGUGAGUGACACAUAGCAUAUACUAGGAAGCUGAUAUGUUCCAUUUCAAUUACACAGCUAGAUGGCAUUUUCUACCAAAGUGAGUGACACAUAGCAUAUACUAGGAAAGCUGACAUGUUCCAUUUCAAUUACACAGCUAGAUGGCAUUUUCUACGAAAGUGAGUGACACAUAGCAUAUACUAGGAAAGUAGACAUGUUCCAUUUCAAUUACACAGCUAGAUGGCAUUUUCUACCAAAGUGAGUGACACAUAGCAUAUACUAGGAAAGCUGACAUGUUCCAUUUCAAUUACACAGCUAGAUGGCAUUUUCUACCAAAGUGAGUGACACUUAGCAUAUACUAGGAAAGCUGACAUGUUCCAUUUCAAUUACACAACUAGAUGGCAUUUUCUACCAAAGUGAGUGACACACAGCAUAUACUAGGAAAGCUGACAUGUUCCAUUUCAAUUACACAGCUAGAUGGCAUUUUCUAUCAAAGUGAGUGACACAUAGCAUAUACUAGGAAAGUAGAUAUGUUCCAUUUCAAUUACACAGCUAGAUGGCAUUUUCUACCAAAGUGAGUGACACACAGCAUAUACUAGGAAAGCUGACAUGUUCCAUUUCAAUUACACAGCUAGAUGGCAUUUUCUACCAAAGUGAGUGACACAUAGCAUAUACUAGGAAAGCUGACAUGUUCCAUUUGAAUUACACAGCUAGAUGGCAUUUUCUACGAAAGUGAGUGACACAUAGCAUAUACUAGGAAAGUUGACAUGUUCCAUUUCAAUUACACAGCUAGAUGGCAUUUUCUACCAAAGUGAGUGACACAUAGCAUAUACUAGGAAAGUUGACAUGUUCCAUU